RNAcentral lists this ribosomal RNA (554 nucleotides) under uncultured bacterium. RNAcentral's name for it is "partial 16S ribosomal RNA". It matches the Rfam family "Bacterial small subunit ribosomal RNA", at positions 355 to 902 of the family's 1533-position model. The record is from RNAcentral.
CUAAGAAUAUUCCGCAAUGGACGGAAGUCUGACGGAGCGACGCCGCGUGGAUGACGAAGGCCGAAAGGUUGUAAAGUUCUUUUGCUGGGGAAGAAUAACCGCAGGAGGGAAUGCCUGUGGGAUGACAAGAACCGGCGAAUAAGCCCCGGCCAACUACGUGCCAGCAGCCGCGGUAACACGUAGGGGGGCGAGCGUUGUUCGGAAUUACUGGGCGUAAAGGGCAUGUAGGCGGCUUGGAAAGCCUGGCGUGAAAGUCUGCAGCUUAACUGCAGGGGUGCGCUGGGAACUGCUGAGCUUGAGUGACGGAGAGGGAGCUGGAAUUCCUGGUGUAGGGGGUGAAAUCUGUAGAUAUCAGGAAGAACACCGAUGGCGAAGGCAAGCUCCUGGCCGAUGACUGACGCUGAGGUGCGAAAGUGUGGGGAUCAAACAGGAUUAGAUACCCUGGUAGUCCACACAGUCAACGAUGUGCACUAGGUGCUGGGGCGGUAGCUUCGGUGCCGGAGCGAACGUGGUAAGUGCACCGCCUGGGGAGUAUGCUCGCAAGGGUGAAACUC